Molecule: long non-coding RNA, 1809 nt
Filed under: Salmo salar (Atlantic salmon)
Lineage: Eukaryota; Metazoa; Chordata; Actinopteri; Salmoniformes; Salmonidae
Description: lncRNA (ENSSSAG00000117350.1)
Source: RNAcentral
UUUGAAGCGUCUAUGAUAAACAGAGAGCAAAUUAGAAUCCAAGGAAGUUGACAUGUCAUCACUUCAUUUUUUUGCGCCUGCGCAUAAAUCUGAGAAGCGUGAGUUUGUCAUCAUUGUUUAUCUAGACAUAGGAUAGGUUGUGUGAAAAUAUUACUGAUGUUUAACGUUAAAAAUGGACCAAAAGAUUAAUGCUAAACAACAUUUGACAUGUUUGAACGAAAAUAAAUAGAUUAUUUACUAGGUUUUUUUAGCUUUUCGGCGUGAUUUUACACUCCCCCCACCACGUUUUGAGGGAGCAUAAUGAACGCUAAGUACUUGGUGUUAUUUGGACAUAAAUUAUGAACUUUGUCAAAAGAAACCACAUUUGUUCCGGACCUGGGAUGCCUUCCGGACCUGGGAUGCCUGCCUUCUGAUGGAGAUAAUCAAAGGCCCACCUCUCUCCCCCGUCUCAUCGAUGGCCAACCGACGUACACGGUGAGGCGUCUCCUGAAGGUUCGACCUCGGGAAAGGGAAUUCCAGUACGUGGUUGACUGGGAGGGUUAUGUCCUGGAGGAGAGGUGCUGGGUCCCGGCUAGGGACAUCCUGGACACAGGCCUCAUUGCUGAUUUCCAAUGCCGGCUCCCCGGUCAACCAGUUCCUGUUUUCCCGGUUUUAACAAUUUCUGCACCUUGUCAUCCCACCCUGGAUUAUUGACCUCUGCCUGCCCUUGGCCUGUCGUUUUGCCUGCCCCUGUUCUAGUAAUACACUUUUGUUACUUCAACAGUGUCUGCAUCUGGGUCUUCUACUGAAACGUGAUACAUGAAUUAUAAUCCACAUAGAAAUUCACAUUUCAUGUUGCUGCAUUAUUAUUUUCCAGCUGUGAGAAAUUGGUAAAAAUUAAGAUCCUGUACCUGGGUAGCUGUCUCGGAUGACAUCUCCAUUCAUGUUAGUGGAACAUUCCAGUAAUGUUUUCUCAGAACCAAUUUAAUUGAAUCCAGACAUGAUCGCUGAAAAAUGUUUAGGAAACAUUAAUGGAAUAAUCAUGUCAUAACGUCACAAUUGUCACGUCCUGACCAGUAAAAGGGGUUGUUUGUUAUUGUAGUUUGGUCAGGGCGUGUUUGUUUUAUGUGUUUCGGGGUUUUUUGGUUAAUGUCUAUGUUGGUAUAUUUCUAUGUUUGUUCUAGUUUUCUAUUUCUAUGUUUAGUUUACUUGAUUGACCUUCAAUUGGAGGCAGCUGUUCCUCGUUGCCUCUAAUUGAAGGUCCUAUUUAGUAGGGGUGUUUUUCUAUGGGUUUUUGUGGGUAGUUGUUCCGUAUGUAAGCUGUGUGCCUUACAGGACUGUUCUCGUCGUUGUUUUUGUUUAAGUGUUUAUUUUGGUUUUCUUCACAAUAAAGAAGAUGAGUAUUCACAUUCCCGCUGCACCUUGGUCCCAUCUUUACGACGAACGUGACAGAACUACCCACCACCAACGGACCAAGCAGCGGGUCCAGGAGGAGCAAGGAUCCUGGGCCAGGGAAAGAAGGGAGCAGCACCAGGAGUGGAGCAAGCAGCAUGCUCGGGAGGAGAUGGCAUCCUGGUCGCUGGAGGUAUUAGAGGCAAGAAUAGACUGGACGUGGGAACAGCUACUGGACCAUUGCUACUGCCUGCCUGGGAAGCAGGUGGAGGUGGAGAGGCAGCCCCAAGAAAACAUUUUUGGGGGGCACACGGGAAGAUUGGCUAGGUCAGGCGGUAGACGUAAGCCAACUCCCCGUGCUUAUUAUGGGGAGCAGCGGAUCAUGAGAGCGCCGGUCUAUGUGGAAGUGCGUACGAUCUCGCCGAUGCGAUUCCAGCC